Molecule: long non-coding RNA, 386 nt
Organism: Ipomoea nil (Japanese morning glory)
Lineage: Eukaryota; Viridiplantae; Streptophyta; Magnoliopsida; Solanales; Convolvulaceae
Exons: 3
Source: RefSeq, a predicted model, not a curated record
UAUGAAAGUUCUGGUGCAAAGGUAUUAGAGGAUGACAUGAUUGAGACCUAUGACAAUGAUGUGAGGCCUUAAAUGUAGUUCAGUUCUGGCUUCUUCAAGCCCAAUCUCGUUUUUGAUGAAGUGAUUGCACUAUUAACAGAUUCUGAAAGUUCCUUCACUCCUUAAUCCUUAUAGCUAUAAGUGCCAAGGUAAUGCAGUUUAUAAAGUAUGAUACUUGUGAGUUGUGAUUGAUUAAACACUAGUGCCACAGAUUGCAUGUGAAUUGUAUUAAAUGUAUGGUUCGGUGUUGUUUAUUCCGAUUAGUAUCAUAAACUUGUAUUGGUAUGAAACUACUAUUGGUGUUACAGUUGCUAUUUGCAAGUGGAUAAUUUGUAUUUUAAAUUAAA